This 427-nucleotide ribosomal RNA is filed under the name uncultured bacterium. Its description in RNAcentral is "bacterial SSU rRNA". It matches the Rfam family "Bacterial small subunit ribosomal RNA", at positions 355 to 774 of the family's 1533-position model. The record is from RNAcentral.
UGGGGAAUUUUGGACAAUGGGCGCAAGCCUGAUCCAGCAAUGCCGCGUGCAGGAUGAAGGCCUUCGGGUUGUAAACUGCUUUUGUACGGAACGAAAAGGCUCUGGUUAAUACCUGGGGCUCGUGACGGUACCGUAAGAAUAAGCACCGGCUAACUACGUGCCAGCAGCCGCGGUAAUACGUAGGGUGCAAGCGUUAAUCGGAAUUACUGGGCGUAAAGCGUGCGCAGGCGGUUUUGUAAGACAGAGGUGAAAUCCCCGGGCUCGACCUGGGAAUUGCCUUUGUGACUGCAAGGCUUGAGUGCGGCAGAGGGGGAUGGAAUUCCGCGUGUAACAGUGAGAUGCGUAGAUAUGCGGAGGAACACCGAUGGCGAAGGCAAUCCCCUGGGCCUGCACUGACGCUCAUGCACGAAAGCGUGGGGAGCAAACA